This is an RNA transcript of Triticum aestivum (bread wheat), 2279 nucleotides long. It is a transcript of the gene named fasciclin-like arabinogalactan protein 2, with no coding region annotated. NCBI's taxonomy places the organism in Eukaryota, Viridiplantae, Streptophyta, Magnoliopsida, Poales, Poaceae. The transcript has 10 exons. The record is from RefSeq and is a predicted model, not a curated record.
UGAGAAGAAUUGAGAAACUCCCUCGCCAUCGGGCCACUAGUCUGCUCGGCUCCUCCCAGCGAUUCCCCGUGGUCCUCGCCGGCGGCGGCUCCUCCCAGCGGUUCCCCGUCGUCCUCGACGGCGGCGGCUAGGGACUGAGCGUCCUGCGUCGUUCCUUCUGCCUGCUAGGACGAGCAGUGGAUCGAAUUAACCACAUGCCGUUCGCCGGAGCCAUCGCCAUCGCCGUCCUCUUGCUUGUCCCCUGUGCCAAGGCCACGUCGGGGGGCCUCAUGAUCGAGCAGAUCUUGUCUGACAAGGGGUGUGGUGCCUUCGCCGGCCUCGUUGCCACCACGGCCGGCGUGGGCGAGGUGUUCCGUUCCUUUUUAGAGAAGGAGGCUGAAACCCCCGACGUGUUCGACGUGUUCGGUGAGAAGAGGGCCCGCAAUGCGGGGCUCACCAUUUUCUGCCCAGACGACGAGGCGGUGGCGGCAUUCACUCCGAGAUUCAACAAGCUCAGCGCCUACGCGCAGGUCGCCCUUCUUCUGUACCAUGGAGUGCCGUCGCGUCGCUCCGAGGAGGCGCUCAGGUUGAUCAACGGGGAGGAGGUGCCGACGCUUGAUAAGGGGCCCUUGCCGGGCUCCAGAAGCAUGCUCACCAUCGAUGUCUACGAAGAUAUCGUGGUACUUUCUUCGCCGUUGCCGUCGCCGUCGGUUGCUGCUGUCACCGAGAUGGUCGUCGACCACGACCGCCUGGCUGUCUACAUCAUCGACGACGUGAUGAUUCCGAGAGAGCCAGAGAUUGGAUUCCCAGCCUUGCUUCUUUUCUUUGGGCUCCUGGCGUUGGCAGCGCUGGUGCUCGCGCAGGUAUUAUUGAUCUUCGGUGACGUCUGAGAAGAUCGUUUCGUGUCAAGAUCGCUACUACCUAUGUUGUGGCUCCAUAUAUAAGCGACAAGGACCUUAGUUCAUGAUUGUUUCAUUUACAUCAGCUGGCCUAAUGUUAACUACUUCUGCAUCGACAUUAUCCUGCUCUGCGUCAUACUUGUGUGCUUAAGAAGUGAGUGAGGUGCAACGGUGUGCUCAUGCGUGGUCGGUAGUGAUCUUGCAUUGGAUUCCCUACUUGUCAUGUCCUGCUGUGAUGGGUUUCAAGUCUCGUGCCUCGAUUUGAUUUCCUACAUGAGGAAGUGUACAGCCGUGAUUGCUGCAGGUGUUUGCACAUUUCAAAAUGGAUUGGUUGCCUUGCAGGGCUGUGACGGCUUGGUUCUCAUUGAGUCGAUGGUAAACAGUACGGCGGAGAAGGGUGCGAUGCCAAACAACCCAAGCCUCCAGGCUCCAGCUCUUCGAAGUCAUCGCGCCGAAGGCAGCCAUUGAGGUGUCUGAAUAAUGCUUGUUGCCUGGCAAUCAGAAGAUGCAGAUAGACUGUGGAUCGCACAUGCUUAAUCUGCAUAAAGCUCUGCUUCAAGUACCCACACAGGGAUUAGUGCAACAGCUACUCAGCUGGUCUGAAGCAACGGAUGCCUACAUACAUUACAGGCAACCCACUUUUGAAGACAAUUGCAACCAAGUUCAUCCGCCAAUAACAAGCGUGGUCAUACUGUGCGUGUGGCAUGUUUUGUCUGAGACAAAGCCAAUUCCGUUGGCGCUGUAGCACAUGAAGGUUCGCCAUGGCAGCUGGUGUUGUUAAAAAAUGUUCCGCCAGGAUCCUCACCGCGUACUUAUGGUGAUUAUACGCAUUCCUAGCGAGGAGCGUCUCACACGGCGCAUAUGUGUCAUGCUCCUGUAUAUGAAACGUGAUCAUCGACAAUUAAUCCAUAUGCCAUAAUUAAUGCAUAUGCCUAUAUAUACUGAGGCGAGGGUGAGUUUUUAUGCCAUUGCAUCAGAUUGCUUCUAAAACUACCUCAUAAUCUCGCAUGCGGUUCGUGGAAAAUAUGAAGGGGAGCGCUGCGUACACAAUUGCCGUUUUUUUCAUUGGGUGCCUUCUUACGGUUGGACAAUGUCGUCGUGAGCCCGAGAGCACCUACAAAGAUGACCAUGCCAACACGACCACGCUGGUCUCGUCACCUGACGAGAGCAAACUUACCUUGAAAUUUUGUCUCGAUAGAGAUUGUAAGACCAAAGGUGAAAACUUUAGAACCUGGUGGGCGAAAUGCAUAUGCUGCGUCACUCUGCCAGACGUACCGUGUUACGAUUCCUACGAAGAGUGUCAAAAUAAGUGCCCAAGUAUACCGCAGCCCAUACUUGCAAAUACGGGUGGGCAUUAACGGAAUACACUACUAUAAGAUAGUGUGUUGAUUGGUACUACCU